AUAGACUUAUGUGAUUAUGAUCCAAAAGAAUUCGACUGCGAUAGUUUUUCGAUGUUUCUUGAUAAUGUACUUUUCGCUCAUGACUCCUUGAAAGUUCAUCGGUUCCGCAUUUGCUGUACUAAGAUGGUGGAUCCCCUUCUGUUUGAUUAUUGGACUAGCACUGCCAUUGGCUGUAAUGUUGUUGAACUCGAUCUUGGUAUUAUUCCCAUGGGUUCUGUGUACUCGUCACUUCCGCCCCAGUAUUUCGAGUUGCCAGGAAGCCUUUUCGUGAUGAAAAGUUUGGAGAAGUUGAAGCUGAGCCUGCAAUCGUUUAUUACCAUUACUCCUGAACCAAAUUGGUUCCCAAGUCUCAAGUUUCUCCAUGUUUCAGUCUCAUUUUCUGGUUCUCAUCUGAUGGAGAGCCUCUUUUCUUGCUGCCCUGUACUUGAAGAGUUGAUUUUUGAUGCGGACCCUGAAUAUGAUGAUGAUUCAGUUUCUAACGUUAACAUCUCUGCACCGAAGCUGAAAAGACUACAAAUAAGCUUGUUCCUGGAAACAUAUGAUCUAGAGGUAGUAGAAUAUGAGCACAAACUUUUUAUCAAUGCCAAUGCUCCAAAUCUUGAAAAGUUCACUUUCCACGGCAAUCUUUUGGCAAUCUAUUCCUCGAGCAAUGCCAAAUCCCUGAACGAAGCCAAGAUUGAUUGCGCGCAGACCUGCAUGCAGGUCAAGAGCUUGACUAUCACCUUGAUGCUGCUGAUAAUUUGCACAGGCUUUUCACAGGAAUUUUGAAUGUUACUUACCUGUCAGUUUCAGCUCCUAUUUUUGGGGAUCCCCACAUUGUACAUCAGUAUCAUCUCCCUACAUUUGUUAAUUUGAAGCACUUGAAGCUACUUCUUCAAGCUUGCUGCUCUUGGCAACCAUUGAUUAGUUUUCUGAAUGCAUCGCCAAAUCUGGAAUCUCUUGUCUUGAAAAGGGCAAGUGUACAUGGCUUUACACCCUUACCAACUGUAUUGAUAAAUGAGAAUUUUGAAAUAUUUUAAUUUAUCCCAUCUAUGUUAAUCUUUAGAGCUGCGAUUGCCUAUGUCGACACGAUCCGGAUGAAUUACAUCAUGAAUGGAAUCCACCAGAGAAUGUGCCUGUUUGUUUGGUGUCACACUUGAAGACUAUUUGUAUACGUGGGUACAGGGGGAGGCCAGAUCAUAUGAAAGUGGCAGAAUACUUGUUGAAGCACGGUGAGGUUUUGGAUAAGGUGACAGUUCAUCGGACUUCCAAAUGAAGAAGUUGCCAAGGUGUUCGAAGACAUGUCAAAUUGAAUUUCCAUGCCUCUCUGUCACAGCAUAGCCUUCUUAAUUAUCUGAGUUACAUUUCAGAGUUGUGAAAUGGAUCCUUUUUUUGUUUAGAUAAGACCAUGAAUUGAUUCAACUCUUGUGUAAUAACAACUCUUCUUAUCUUCUAUUAUUAGCUCUCCAACCUCGGAAGAAUCUUUUAGACUCCAUGUAUGGAUCUUAUCUCAAGAGACAUUUAUUUGC
Rosa chinensis is the source of this 1508-nucleotide RNA transcript. It is a transcript of the gene named F-box protein At3g62430-like, with no coding region annotated. Lineage: Eukaryota; Viridiplantae; Streptophyta; Magnoliopsida; Rosales; Rosaceae. The transcript has 2 exons. The record is from RefSeq and is a predicted model, not a curated record.